Molecule: unclassified non-coding RNA, 263 nt
Filed under: plant metagenome
Description: partial contains small subunit ribosomal RNA, internal transcribed spacer 1, and 5.8S ribosomal RNA
Source: RNAcentral
UUUCUGUAGGUGAACCUGCGGAAGGAUCAUUAUUGUAUAACCGAGGUGCGAGGGCUGUCGCUGACCCGAAAGGUCGUGCACGCCCGAGUGCCCUCACACACAUCCAUCUCACCCCUAUGUGCACCACCGCGUGGGUCCCCCUUUGGCUUGUUCGGAGGGGGGCUUACGUUUUCACACAAACUUUGUAUGCAGUGUAGAAUGUAUUUUUUGUUUUUGCGAUCACGCAAUCAAUACAACUUUCAACAACGGAUCUCUUGGUUCUG